UGGAAAAUGUGAGACAUUCAAUUGUUUUCUACAAUUUAAUAUCAUAAAGAAUUGGUAUCAAUCAGAGUUUGUUUAUUUCUCCAUUUGUGUUAACAUCUAUAGAGAGCAUGAUCUUUGUUGUGGUCGAUUUAAUUUAAUUGUUUCUACAAUUAACUGAGUGACUUUUAAUUUGUUUACCAAUAGACAUUUAAAUUUGUGUUCUUUUAAAUUGCCGUUAAAUUGUUUGGAAAGCUGAUUUUUUUAUGAUAAAUAAUUUCCAACGUUGAAACUCAUUCAAAUUUUAUUGUUUCCAUGGUUAUUCUUACACCCAAGCAGUUGGAACUGAAACUUGUUUAUCUUUCAUUUUUUUUCGCUUCCUUCAUUGCUCUUUCUUUCUUUCUCUCUUUCUUUUUCCUUUCUCUGUAAUUGAUGAUAAACAUUUUCUCUUCUCUUUUGAUUACAUAAUAGAUUCUGUUGUGAUUAGUGUUUUCUAUUCUUUUUCUGAUUAACCAUCGAUUCAUGUCUCAACCACCAAUUUCUAAUCCGGUGUUGCCAUUCAUUGGUUCACUUAAUUAUGCUCAUCCUGGUCUUCUAUUAAGGAUUCAAGGAAGAGUCAACCCUUCAUCGAGAUGUUUUGCGAUUAACUUACAAUGUGGCCCAUCGGUAAAUCCUCGAGAUGAUAUCGCUCUGCAUUUCAGUCCAGUAUUUGCUCCACCACCUCGAGUUGUACGUAACUCAUUGGAAAAUGGCCGCUGGGGACCAGAAGAAAGUCAUGGACCUUUUUUCCCGUUCGCAGUUAAUGAACCUUAUGAAUUAAUUAUUCUAUUCGAUCAUGAUGGUUUUAAAAUAGCAAUAAAUGGUGCACACUUUACAGAGUUUCGCCAUAGAAUAUCAAUGCAUAGGAUAAGUCACAUUUCAAUUGAUGGUGAAACUCAAAUAUCUCGUAUUUCAUUUGAAGAUAAUCCAAUACCCUCGGCACCUCCUCUUGAAGCUCCUUAUCCUUCAGGACCCGUUGGAAUGCCUCCUUAUUCAGCUGGACCAUCAGCUGCCAGUGCUUUACCCUAUCCCACUGGACCUUCAUCAGCGAUGCCCCCAUAUCCACCUACUUCAGCACCAGCAGCUUAUCCACCCGCUCCAUAUCCACCAUCAGGUCCACCCCCUGGACCUUCACCAUACCCUCAAGCAGGAUAUCCACCGCCGACAGCUGGUCGAGUCCAACCUAUGCCAGGAUCUGCACCACCAGGAGCUUACGGUCCUCCACAACCUUCACCUUAUCCACCUCAGCCAACUCAAGGAGCCUAUCCAACUCAAGGUGGUUAUCCAGUUCAACCAGGUCAAGGAUAUCCAACCCAAGGAGGUUAUCCCACCCAAGGGGGUUUUCCCACUCAAGGUGGUUACCCUUACCCUCCAAAAGCUUCAUCAAGUGGUGGGAUUUUGUCUGGAGCUGCAGCGGCACUCGGAGCGGGCUCCAUGUUAGGUGCCGGGGCUAAAUAUCUUUCCGGUGGAGGACAUCACAAGAAAUCAUCACCAAUACCAAUCGGAGGUAUCGCCGCUGGACUUGGUGCUGCAGCUUUAGGAGCUGCUGUUAUGCACAAACCGAUGAAAAAAUUGAAAAAAUUAUACAAACACAAAUUUAAAGGACCAAAAUUUUUUAAGCACAAAUUUCACCACAAAUUUGGUGGUUUUAAACACAAAGGAUGGAGCAGCAGUUCAUCUAGUGAUUAAAUCACAAGACUGUUUCAUUCAUAGCGAUCAAUUAAUUGAUCCAUUUUACUUAUUUCUGAUUAUGUUGUAAAAUCAAACACACACACAGUUAAUCAGUUACAUUGAUUCACUUAAAUCUGACAAUCUAUUGGAAAAUUACACUUGACAACAACAAACAAAUUGAAUAAACAUCGAAAAAGAAACCUGGAGUCCUUGGAUCGUCACACUCAUCGAAAGCACCGGAAACCAAACCCACGGCGAAAUAGCGUCCACCACUUUUGUACAUUAAAGCGCCACCCGAAUCUCCCCUACAAGCAUCACCGCCCGUUUUGGUAUCUA
Molecule: RNA transcript, 2022 nt
Organism: Panonychus citri (citrus red mite)
Lineage: Eukaryota; Metazoa; Arthropoda; Arachnida; Trombidiformes; Tetranychidae
Gene name: translation initiation factor IF-2-like
Exons: 7
Source: RefSeq, a predicted model, not a curated record